CUCAACCGGGAGAGGUCGUGUGAAACUGGGUCACUGGAGGCAGGGAGAGGCAGACGGAAUUCCGGGUGGAGUGGUGAAAUGCGUAGAGAUCCGGAGGAACACCAGUGGCGAAGGCGGUCUGCUGGCCCUGACCUGACACUCAGCCGCGAAAGCAUGGGGAGCGAACGGGAUUAGAAACCCCGGUAGUCCAUGCCGUAAACGAUGCACACCAGGCGUUGGGGAUGCACUGCAUCUUCAGUGCCGCAGCUAACGCGAUCAGUGUGCCGCCUGGGGAGUACGGUCGCAAGGCUAAAACUCAAAGGAAUUGACGGGGGCCCGCACAAGCAGCGGAGCGUGUGGUUUAAUUCGAGGCUACGCGAAGAACCUUACCUGGGCUUGACAUACAGGUGGUACCGACCCGAAAGGGAAGGGACCUUCGGGAGCC
RNAcentral lists this ribosomal RNA (424 nucleotides) under uncultured bacterium. Its description in RNAcentral is "bacterial SSU rRNA". It matches the Rfam family "Bacterial small subunit ribosomal RNA", at positions 608 to 1029 of the family's 1533-position model. The record is from RNAcentral.